Long non-coding RNA from Lagopus muta (rock ptarmigan), 1362 nucleotides. RefSeq lists it as uncharacterized. Lineage: Eukaryota; Metazoa; Chordata; Aves; Galliformes; Phasianidae. The record is from RefSeq and is a predicted model, not a curated record. The transcript has 4 exons.
UUUAACACUGCUAGACCUUGUCAUUUCCUCAGUAUGAGAACAAGAAAAUGAGGAUGUACUCGUGAGAAGACAGCAACUGCCAGCAACAGAAUAGACCCUGUAGAACUCAGUAAUGCAUAGAGAACCACUUCCCUACAUCAUAUUCUGGCAAGAGUAACCAGGAAAAUCAGAAGAAUUGCAAAAAGCCACGUUGCUAUGCCCUGACAGUCACUCAGAAGAGUUAUCACUUGGCAUGCAUUCCAGCUCGUUACAAGAUGCUGUUCCAAACGUGUUAAAGACCUUAGUAUAAAAAAUCAACAUAAUCCUGCUUUGAAAAUUCACUGUAAAGAAAGGAAAAGACUGAUCACAUCUCUCUUGUAAUGAAAUCUUACAUUGAACCACAGGUGUCAGAGUAACUACUGAAGCUUUCCUUUCACAAAGAGUGAAACUUUAUCUCAGUAUGAAUGAUAUGUAUCCCCUAUUGUAUUGGAGGUAGGUGUCUGAAAAUGAAGGUUUUUUUUAAUUUAAAAUCUAUACAUUUUGUUUUCUUUUGGCCCUGAAUUGGUAGCUAUUGAUAGAGUGCUCCAUAUGCAGAGACCUGAACGUGAAAGUGAAUCUCCCAGCUAGUAAAGGGACCCCAUCAGCCUGAAUUUAUCAACCAUACAUUAUCUACUUCUUCCUGUAUAAGCAAAAUUUAAAAAAAAAUUAAAAAAAAAAAAAGUGAAAUAUCUUUGCUAGCCUGAAAAUGUGAAAUUAUGAACUUGCUAAAAAUACCAGCAUUUGACAAUUUGAUGGCAGCAGCCUUAAAAACUGUUAUGGAGACAUUUGAACUACUCCUAGGAAGCAUCAUUCUGUCUUAUGGCAGCUAUAGCAGCCAACUUUAUUUUUCUUACACGGAAAUAAGAGCAAAAUACAUUACUGUGGCAUUUUAAUUUUUUUCUGUUUUUGGUCUCUGCAUCUCUUUUCUAUUUGUCAGCUUCACAUCUCUCUGAUCUUCAUCCUGGCAAUUGUAUUUCUCUUCUAUGUUAUUCUCUAUUUAUUCUCUUCACAAAGGAGACUAAUCAGCUCUUCACACCUCAGAGGCCCUGAAGUCUUUAUUUCUUGCUAACUUCUAUUCACAUCUGUUCUUUUUUGCGUGAUUUUCUCUGCUGACCUUAUGACUUUUGACUUUCAGAGCACAUUUUCCUACAUUUGAUUGUUUUACUUGAACAUUUAAUUGCUUCUCAUCCCUGCAGACACUACUUCCCUGACAUUUUAUAGCAAGACUUAAUCAGGAUGUUUCUGCUCUUUUUUUUUUUUUCUUUUUUUUUUUCUGGCAAUAAUCAGCUGAAACCAAACAUGGAAUAAGAUGAUACCGGUUUCAUGAUUUUAAUAGAGAUAUUU